This 1598-nucleotide long non-coding RNA is filed under the name Fragaria vesca (wild strawberry). Its description in RNAcentral is "long non-coding RNA (FVES_LNC005339)". The record is from RNAcentral. Lineage: Eukaryota; Viridiplantae; Streptophyta; Magnoliopsida; Rosales; Rosaceae.
AUUAGGCCUAAGCCUGAUGUCGAUCUGGGGUCUCGUCUGCUCGAGCCUCCUCACGUCUUGUUCCAAAUAUAAUAUUAAUUUCCCAACCAAUAAUCCAAUAUUUAAUCAAAAUAGGCAAAAUUACCCGAGAGCCAUAAUUACGCUCAUCAUUGCCUAACUUCGAUAUUCUUACAUCGGAACAAUCCGAACUUAAAUAUCAUACUCAACAGUCGUAAAUACAACCUCCCCAAAAUACGACUUAAAUCUUACGGCCGGAUUCUACAUUAAUUAACCGCCAAAAAUACCAAACUUCGGAAAUUCACAAACCUAUCAAAAUCUCAUCCAAAAAUUCCAUAAAUCACACCAAUAUACUCCUCUUAAUAUUCCACAUUUAAAACCCUAAAAAUCUCCUAACCGGCGGCGGCUCCGCCGGCAGCCGUUUUCUGGCGACCUGCAAAUGCUACCAAAUUUUAACAAAAUCUUCCUCUCAAUCUCCUCUACAACUUUCAUGACCAACACAUCACCCAAUUCCAGGCCUAAGCACAUCAAUCGAACACAAAUACACAAAAAGCCCUAGAAAUUUCAAGUUCCCAUUUCUCCUUACCUAGCUCAAGAGGGAGGGAGCUACUUGGAGGGGUUGUUGCACGGGAGGAGGGCUACAAAACCGUACCAAGCUUGCCCGGAUUGGUGGCCGGAGGAGGAAGUUCCGGCGAGAAAACCGAUUCGGCAGUCGGAGCUUUCGGGCGGCACCGCUCACUCACGGCGGCGCUAGGGGGGCUGUCACCGGUCCUAGAAGAUAGCUGGGUCGGAGACCGAUCGAUUGGGACCGGUGCGGCGGUCUGGGGCGGCCGGACGGCGGCGGUCUGGCGGUCGGAAUUCCGGACGGCGGGAGGGCUCGGGGGAGAGAGAACCGGGAGGAGAAAAGAGGAGAAAAAAAAAGAGAAAAGAGAAAUGGGCCUCCACACCCGGUCCAACAACACUAAUAUACCCAAAUCCUACAAAUAAAACACCCCGAAAAAUAAUACCCGAAUAAAAAUUACCUUUUACUAGCUAAAAUUUACCAUUUUUACCGUCGUCGUAUUUUCUUCAUACUAAUAAUCCUCCGCACAUAAUCGUCCCCGAAACCCCUCUAGGGACCAAUUAAACUAUUUACUCAAUGAUCGAGACGGUAAAAUUCUUAUUAUAAUCACGCUAGUAAAUAAGGUAAAAAUAUAAGGGUCGGGAUGUGACAAUGAUGCUUGUCACGACAGCUAAUUUACAAUGGAAACAAUUGGUUAUAUCAUCACCAUCUGCUUGACUUGACAAAACAAACAAAUUAUUCAAUUAUUCAAGACUUUGUCCCUCUCAUUCUAUUUUCAGGAUUAAUUAUCAAAUUGAAGGCGUCAACGAUUAACACGAAACAAAAUAUCAAUCUUUCUCAUUUGCCACACUUCGCACGGCAUUGACUAGCAAUGGUUUAUUACUAUAUCAGAGCUACUAGUCUUUUGAUUAUGACAUUAGAAAACAAAAGCUUUAUAAUUAACUUGAGGAAGACCCCUGGUGCUAGUCGUUUCUAUAAUUCCUAAUAUAUAUUUGGAUGUUUAUGUACGUAUAUUCCAUACUUGGGGCCAGUAAUGGGC